This is a long non-coding RNA of Eutrema salsugineum, 532 nucleotides long. RefSeq lists it as uncharacterized. The record is from RefSeq and is a predicted model, not a curated record. The transcript is spliced from 2 exons. NCBI's taxonomy places the organism in Eukaryota, Viridiplantae, Streptophyta, Magnoliopsida, Brassicales, Brassicaceae.
AUCUUUCAUGGACGCGUGGCUCAUUUUGAGUGGCUAAAAAAUCUGUGGACAAAAUUUUAACCGACACUUUUUCUUCUCAAAAAUUUCAACCCGAGAAACAACCCUCUUCUUUCUCAAAAAUUCGAACACUUCUUCUCCAAAUUCUCGAUCUCUCCGCCGAACCCGUCGUUAUCUCCGACGAUUUCUCCGACCCGAUGCCCGAGUCCGUCAAUUUCUGGUUCUCUCCGCCGACAUGAUGCCUCAGUUCCUCGUCGAUAAAUCACUGGAUUGGAACGAGAGAGUAAAGACAACAUCUCAAGACCUAGACUUAGUGAUCAUCAUUACCUAUAAGAAAAAGUCUCAAUGAGAUGAGAGAGAACUCAGAAGAAGAACAAAGUUAGAGAGAGAGAAAAAAAGGUAAAUGAUGAAGUGACAGAGUCUGAUCUUGUACAGCUCUGUAAUUUCUGAACUUUCAUUGUACAAUUUAAUAAAGAUUGUUAUGGAUAUGCAUUACACUUUGUUGCGUUAUAAUUAAAUUUGUCUUUGGAAUGGU